This is a long non-coding RNA of Orbicella faveolata, 1443 nucleotides long. The record is from RefSeq and is a predicted model, not a curated record. NCBI's taxonomy places the organism in Eukaryota, Metazoa, Cnidaria, Anthozoa, Scleractinia, Merulinidae.
CUGAAUAAUGGACUACCCCUUAUUUUAAUGAACACUUUUCAUUGGUCUGUAUUAAAUAUAUAAAUAUACACAAUUGAUUAAUUGAUUGAUUAAUUGUUUGAACAUUGUGGGAAUCAUGUUCAACUUGCAUCUUCUACUUUAAAAAUGAGACAGUACGUUGCUUGCUAAAGUAUCUGUAUUACUUAUCAGGUAAAACAUGAAGCACAUAAACAUAAAGUGACAGGCCUAGAGUACUGAGAGGCCAAUGGUGGACAUCAGAUGAAACUAUUAAGAAGGCAAACAAGAAGGACUACUACAUGUAAAACCAUUUGCAGAGGCAGAUACAGCUUCAUGUAGACCAGGGCAAACAAGAACCACAUAAACACCAAAGGAUCAGUGGAGGAAGAGAAAUACAUCAGACAAGGAAGGAUUUCUCUGUGGCCAGAAGAUUGAGGGAAGAGAAAGGCAAAGGCAAAGGCAAGACACUGGAGGCAAUAUUAAGAAGUUAGGACACUAAAGACAGACAUACAUGAAGCACACAAGGGACCAAAGUAAGAAGGAUUGAGAGAUUGUUUCAAGCCAAAAAGUAGGGCGUGGAUGUUUUCGGUGAUGUUUUCCUCACAAUUAAAUAGAACACGAAGGCUAUCAAUUAAAAAUGACCUGGCUCGGCAAAAUAAUUUACAGUUAGGUUUUGUAGUAAAUUUUUUUUCAGCUUUGCUUUACAAAUUUUGAUCCAUUUUUAAUCUUUUUUUGUCUUUGUUCACGAUGGGAGAGCUCGGUGAAUUGUGUGACUGACGCGUUCGUGACAUGAAAAUCAGUGGUGUUGCGUUACACUAGCGGCCGUUGAGAGUUUGUUUAUAAGGCUUUUUGCGGGAAUUUCAAUACCAUUAGGAGAUUCAACUGGGAAGUUAUCAAAUAAAGAUUGUGAAGAGCUAUUUGACAUUUUGUUGGCUCGUUUAGACAAACAGCUAGGCAGCAGGGUACCAAACGAAACUUUCUUUUCCUUAUUAUUCAAAUUACCAGUUAAAAUACGGCAACAUUUCCUGAACUUGAAUAAUUCCCGUGUUAAACUUUUUAACAUAUUCCGAAUAGACAUCAGCAUAACGCAGCACCAUUGUUGUUCAAUAGUCACGAACGUUUCUAUCAUAUGAUUUACCGAGUUCUCGUAUCGUGAGCUUUGGUAAGUCUUUGAUUUUCCUUGAGAAGCAAAUUUUUAUAGUUAGCCUUCGUGUUUAGAAUCACAACUUUUUGUUAGUUUCUUUCACGGACCACUAUUUCAGAAUGGAUUGUCUUUUAAAAAAAUUUCUCAGCCAAAAGCGAUUUUAAAAAGUUUUUCUUCGAACCAGAAUUUGAAAAAAAAAAUGUUGCUGCUAAGGUUUUGUUGAGUUAUUUCAAGCGUAUUCCAUCGAGUUAGUUUUGUACAAAAUCAAUCACUUGUGUUUAUUAAACGCGUUCUAAAAAUUG